This 201-nucleotide unclassified non-coding RNA is filed under the name Funneliformis sp. RNAcentral describes it as "partial contains 5.8S ribosomal RNA and internal transcribed spacer 2". The stretch from base 1 to 71 matches the Rfam family "5.8S ribosomal RNA", at positions 84 to 154 of the family's 154-position model. The record is from RNAcentral. Lineage: Eukaryota; Fungi; Glomeromycota; Glomeromycetes; Glomerales; Glomeraceae.
GUGAAUCAUCGAAUCUUUGAACGCAAAUUGCACUCCCUGGUAUUCCGGGGAGUAUGCCUGUUUGAGGGUCGGUAGAAGAAAAAUCGAAUCAGCGUUCUUUUUUUUGAGGUGGAUCACGGCGGAAUUGAGGCGUCUUUCAAGUGUUAAUUCAUUUCAAAUUGGCUUAAAAUUCAUCCUUCCGUUACGAUUAAAGCGUAUUUA